Molecule: ribosomal RNA, 357 nt
Filed under: uncultured Streptococcus sp.
Lineage: Bacteria; Bacillati; Bacillota; Bacilli; Lactobacillales; Streptococcaceae
Description: bacterial SSU rRNA
Rfam family: Bacterial small subunit ribosomal RNA
Source: RNAcentral
UACAUCGGUGACAGUGGUGCAUGGUUGUCGUCAGCUCGUGUCGUGAGAUGUUGGGUUAAGUCCCGCAACGAGCGCAACCCCUAUUGUUAGUUGCCAUCAUUCAGUUGGGCACUCUAGCGAGACUGCCGGUAAUAAACCGGAGGAAGGUGGGGAUGACGUCAAAUCAUCAUGCCCCUUAUGACCUGGGCUACACACGUGCUACAAUGGUUGGUACAACGAGUUGCGAGUCGGUGACGGCGAGCUAAUCUCUUAAAGCCAAUCUCAGUUCGGAUUGUAGGCUGCAACUCGCCUACAUGAAGUCGGAAUCGCUAGUAAUCGCGGAUCAGCACGCCGCGGUCGAAUACGUUCCCGGGCCUU